GACGAACGCUGGCGGCGUGCCUAAUACAUGCAAGUAGAACGCUGAAGAGAGGAGCUUGCUCUUCUUGGAUGAGUUGCGAACGGGUGAGUAACGCGUAGGUAACCUGCCUUGUAGCGGGGGAUAACUAUUGGAAACGAUAGCUAAUACCGCAUAACAAUGGAUGACACAUGUCAUUUAUUUGAAAGGGGCAAUUGCUCCACUACAAGAUGGACCUGCGUUGUAUUAGCUAGUAGGUGAGGUAAUGGCUCACCUAGGCGACGAUACAUAGCCGACCUGAGAGGGUGAUCGGCCACGCUGGGACUGAGACACGGCCCAGACUCCUACGGGAGGCAGCAGUAGGGAAUCUUCGGCAAUGGGGGCAACCCUGACCGAGCAACGCCGCGUGAGUGAAGAAGGUUUUCGGAUCGUAAAGCUCGGUUGUAAGUCAAGAACGGGUGUGAGAGUGGAAAGUUCACACUGUGACGGUAGCUUACCAGAAAGAGACGGCUAACUACGUG
Molecule: ribosomal RNA, 497 nt
Filed under: uncultured bacterium
Lineage: Bacteria
Description: partial 16S ribosomal RNA
Rfam family: Bacterial small subunit ribosomal RNA
Source: RNAcentral